This 87-nucleotide transfer RNA is filed under the name Gammaproteobacteria bacterium. RNAcentral describes it as "tRNA-Leu". It matches the Rfam family "tRNA". From Rfam's summary of the family: Transfer RNA (tRNA) molecules are approximately 80 nucleotides in length. The record is from RNAcentral. Lineage: Bacteria; Pseudomonadati; Pseudomonadota; Gammaproteobacteria.
GCCCGGGUGGCGGAACAGGUAGACGCUGGGGACUUAAAAUCCCCUGGCCGCAAGGCCGUGCCGGUUCGACUCCGGCCCUGGGCACCA